Non-coding RNA from Fukomys damarensis (Damara mole-rat), 296 nucleotides. The record is from the annotation of a RefSeq genome assembly. NCBI's taxonomy places the organism in Eukaryota, Metazoa, Chordata, Mammalia, Rodentia, Bathyergidae.
CUCAGAAUAAGAAUGGAGAAGCAUCUGAGUACCUCCCUUGGGGUUUUGUGGCUUUAUAUUUGUUGUGUGCAUGGCAAACCUGCAGUGGAGCAGAGUCCCCAGUCCUUGACUGUGCUCCAGGGAGAGAACUGCAGUCUUCAGUGCGAUUACACUGUGAGCCCCUGUAACAACGUACGGUGGUAUAGACAGGACCCAGGGAGAGGUCCUGUUUCCAUGAUGAUCAUCACCUCCACCGAGAACAAGACGUCGGACGGAAGGUACAAGGAAUAAUGAAGAAAACAGAAAUACAGAUGCCA